GAGUUUGAUCCUGGCUCAGGAUGAACGCUGGCGGCGUGCUUAACACAUGCAAGUCGAACGGUUAAAGCCAUGCUUCGGCAUGGUGUAUAAAGUGGCGAACGGGUGAGUAACACGUGGGCAACCUGCCCCAUACUCCGGGAUAACCUCCAGAAAUGGUGGCUAAUACCGGAUAUCAACACGACCGAGGCAUCUCGAUCGUGGAAAAGCUUUAUGCGGUAUGGGAUGGGCCCGCGGUCCAUUAGCUAGUCGGUGGGGUAACGGCCUACCGAGGCGAUGAUGGAUAGCCGGGUUGAGAGACCGACCGGCCACAUUGGGACUGAGACACGGCCCAGACUCCUACGGGAGGCAGCAGUGGGGAAUUUUGCGCAAUGGGGGAAACCCUGACGCAGCAACGCCGCGUGCGGGAUGAAGGCCUUCGGGUUGUAAACCGCUUUCAGUAGGGAAGAAAUCAGACGGUACCUACACAAGAAGCUCCGGCUAACUACGUGCCAGCAGCCGCGGUAAUACGUAGGGAGCAAGCGUUAUCCGGAUUCAUUGGGCGUAAAGCGCGCGUAGGCGGCUUGUUAAGUCGGGUGUUAAAACGUGGGGCUCAACCCUGCGGCGCAUCCGAUACUGGCAAGCUUGAGUCCGGUAGGGGAGAGUGGAAUUCCCACUGUAGCGGUGGAAUGCGCAGAUAUUGGGAAGAACACCGGUGGCGAAGGCGGCUCUCUGGGCCGUAACUGACGCUGAGGCGCGAAAGCUGGGGGAGCGAACAGGAUUAGAUACCCUGGUAGUCCCAGCCGUAAACGAUGGACACUAGGUGUGGGGGGAUGAACCUUCCGUGCCGUAGCUAACGCAAUAAGUGUCCCGCCUGGGGAGUACGGUCGCAAGACUAAAACUCAAAGGAAUUGACGGGGGCCCGCACAAGCAGCGGAGCAUGUGGCUUAAUUCGAAGCAACGCGAAGAACCUUACCAGGGCUUGACAUGGUAGUGAAGCGGCGGAAACACCGUGGCCGAAAGGAGCUACCACAGGUGGUGCAUGGCUGUCGUCAGCUCGUGUCGUGAGAUGUUGGGCUAAGUCCCGCAACGAGCGCAACCCUUGUCGUAUGUUGCCAGCACGUAAUGGUGGGAACUCAUGCGAGACCGCCGGCGUCAAGCCGGAGGAAGGUGGGGACGACGUCAAGUCAUCAUGCCCUUUAUGUCCUGGGCUGCACACGUGCUACAAUGACCGGCACAACGGGCUGCGAACCUGCGAAGGUAAGCGAAUCCCUUAAAACCGGUCCCAGUUCGGAUCGGAGGCUGCAACUCGCCUCCGUGAAGUCGGAGUUGCUAGUAAUCGCGGAUCAGCAUGCCGCAGGAAUUGUGUCCCGGGCCUGUACACACCGCCCGUCAAGGACGAUUCGCGGCCGCUAAUUCAUCGCC
Molecule: ribosomal RNA, 1401 nt
Filed under: uncultured bacterium
Lineage: Bacteria
Description: bacterial SSU rRNA
Rfam family: Bacterial small subunit ribosomal RNA
Source: RNAcentral